Asterophora parasitica is the source of this 94-nucleotide non-coding RNA. Lineage: Eukaryota; Fungi; Basidiomycota; Agaricomycetes; Agaricales; Lyophyllaceae. The record is from the annotation of a GenBank genome assembly.
GGCGCUGUAGUGUAGAGGUUAUCACUCGAGAUUCUGAUAUUAAUGAAAACGUAAGAUCGUUCUCGAAACCCAGGUUCGAGUCCUGGCAGUGCCU